RNAcentral lists this ribosomal RNA (497 nucleotides) under uncultured bacterium. Its description in RNAcentral is "partial 16S ribosomal RNA". It matches the Rfam family "Bacterial small subunit ribosomal RNA", at positions 28 to 507 of the family's 1533-position model. The record is from RNAcentral.
GAUGAACGCUGGCGGCGUGCCUAAUACAUGCAAGUCGAGCGAACAGACGAGGAGCUUGCUCCUCUGACGUUAGCGGCGGACGGGUGAGUAACACGUGGAUAACCUACCUAUAAGACUGGGAUAACUUCGGGAAACCGGAGCUAAUACCGGAUAAUAUAUUGAACCGCAUGGUUCAAUAGUGAAAGACGGUUUUGCUGUCACUUAUAGAUGGAUCCGCGCCGCAUUAGCUAGUUGGUAAGGUAACGGCUUACCAAGGCAACGAUGCGUAGCCGACCUGAGAGGGUGAUCGGCCACACUGGAACUGAGACACGGUCCAGACGCCUACGGGAGGCAGCAGUAGGGAAUCUUCCGCAAUGGGCGAAAGCCUGACGGAGCAACGCCGCGUGAGUGAUGAAGGUCUUCGGAUCGUAAAACUCUGUUAUUAGGGAAGAACAAAUGUGUAAGUAACUAUGCACGUCUUGACGGUACAUAAUCAGAAAGACACGGCUAACUACGUG